GAUGAACGCUGGCGGCGUGCUUAACACAUGCAAGUCGAACGAAGCGUAUUCAAGUGAAGUUUUCGGACAAAGCGAGGAUAUGACUUAGUGGCGGACGGAUGAGUAACGCGUGGGCAACCUGCCUUUCACAGCGGGAUAACAGAGGGAAGCUUCUGCUAAUACCGCAUAUACCUUUAUAACGCAUGUUAGGGAGGGGAAAGAAUUAUCGGUGAGAGAUGGGCCCGCGUCCGAUUAGAUAGUUGGUGGGGUAACAGCCUACCAAGUCAACGAUCGGUAGCCGGCUUGAGAGAGUGAACGGCCACAUUGGGACUGAGACACGGCCCAAACUCCUACGGGAGGCAGCAGUGGGGGAUAUUGGACAAUGGGGGCAACCCUGAUCCAGCGACGCCGCGUGAGUGAAGAAGUAUUUCGGUACGUAAAGCUCUAUCAGCAGGGAAGAAAGAAGACGGUACCUGACUAAGAGGCCCCGGCUAACUACGUGCCAGCAGCCGCGGUAAUACGUAGGGGGCAAGCGUUAUCCGGAAUUACUGGGUGUAAAGGGAGCGUAGACGGUUAAACAAGUCUGAAGUGAAAUGCCGGGGCUCAACCCCGGAGCUGCUUUGGGAACUGUAGAACUGGAGUGUCGGAGGGGUAAGCGGAAUUCCCAGUGUAGCGGUGAAAUGCGUAGAUAUUGGGAGGAACACCGGCGGCGAAGGCGGCUUACUGGACGACAACUGACGUUGAGGCUCGAAGGCGUGGGUAGCAAACAGG
RNAcentral lists this ribosomal RNA (750 nucleotides) under uncultured Lachnospiraceae bacterium. RNAcentral's name for it is "bacterial SSU rRNA". It matches the Rfam family "Bacterial small subunit ribosomal RNA", at positions 28 to 776 of the family's 1533-position model. The record is from RNAcentral. Lineage: Bacteria; Bacillati; Bacillota; Clostridia; Lachnospirales; Lachnospiraceae.